RNAcentral lists this ribosomal RNA (253 nucleotides) under uncultured bacterium. RNAcentral's name for it is "partial 16S ribosomal RNA". It matches the Rfam family "Bacterial small subunit ribosomal RNA", at positions 524 to 776 of the family's 1533-position model. The record is from RNAcentral.
UACGGGGGGGGCAAGCGUUGUUCGGAAUUACUGGGCGUAAAGCGCACGUAGGCGGCUUUGUAAGUUAGAGGUGAAAGCCCGGGGCUCAACCCCGGAAUUGCCUUUAAAACUGCAUCGCUAGAAUUGUGGAGAGGUGAGUGGAAUUCCGAGUGUAGAGGUGAAAUUCGUAGAUAUUCGGAAGAACACCAGUGGCGAAGGCGACUCACUGGACACAUAUUGACGCUGAGGUGCGAAAGCGUGGGGAGCAAACAGG